CGAAAGCCUGACGGAGCAACGCCGCGUGUGGGAAGAAGGCCUUUGGGCUGUCAACCACUUUUCUCAGGGAAGAAGUUCUGACGGUACCUGAGGAAUCAGCCUCGGCUAACUCCGUGCCAGCAGCCGCGGUAAUACGGAGGAGGCAAGCGUUAUUCGGAAUUAUUGGGCGUAAAGCGUCCGCAGGGGGCUCAUCAAGUCUGCUGUCAAAGGUCGGAGCUCAACUCCGGUUCGGCAGUGGAAACUGGUGGGCUAGAGGGCGACAGGGGUAGAGGGAAUUCCCAGUGUAGCGGUGAAAUGCGUAGAGAUUGGGAAGAACACCGGUGGCGAAAGCGCUCUACUGGGUCGCACCUGACCCUCAGGGACGAAAGCUAAGGUAGCG
Molecule: ribosomal RNA, 379 nt
Filed under: uncultured cyanobacterium
Lineage: Bacteria; Bacillati; Cyanobacteriota
Description: bacterial SSU rRNA
Rfam family: Bacterial small subunit ribosomal RNA
Source: RNAcentral